RNAcentral lists this transfer RNA (82 nucleotides) under Candidatus Blackburnbacteria bacterium. RNAcentral's name for it is "tRNA-Leu". It matches the Rfam family "tRNA". From Rfam's summary of the family: Transfer RNA (tRNA) molecules are approximately 80 nucleotides in length. Their secondary structure includes four short double-helical elements and three loops (D, anti-codon, and T loops). The record is from RNAcentral. Lineage: Bacteria; Candidatus Blackburniibacteriota.
GCCAGGGUGUCGUAACUGGUAGCCGAGCACGCUUGAGGUGCGUGUGGAGAAAUCCGUGCAGGUUCGAGUCCUGUCCCUGGCA